CUAUCACUUUUACUGUCGUUUCAGUACUUUUAGAGGGCCAUAAAAUAUGACUUUUUGUUCGGGUCAAAAUUUGAGAAAAUGUUCUUCAUGGAAGUUGUAGAGGACGUUAAACCGAGCGCGUGCAUAUGUGGUAUGUAAAAAUCGGAGUUCGUAUACGAAAGUUAUGGCCAAAAUACUAAAGUUACUGUUCAUAGUAAGUUUCUAUAAAUAGCCGAGUUACUGUGGUAAGUUUCCAUUUUCGGAAACUUACCGAGCCUCUCCCUUCUCUCUCCCCGAUUCUCUCUUCCUCUCCGACCUCUUCACCUUCUUCCGGCCAUAACUCCUCCAUCCGGCGACGGAUUUUGACGUGUAAGAUGUCGUUGGAAAGCUCUCUUCCUUCUCUUCAUUUCUGGGUUCGUUUCGUAGCUUAAUAUGAACUGUGGAAGGUGCAGCAACGAGAAGAAGAGGACGGUCACUGUAGCAGUUUUGAGUCAACGCCGAUAUUUUCCGAUUCCGGCAGUCUCCGGCCACCAAAUUGACGUCGAAGGGUUCUUGGAAUUUCUGGAAAAUUUUCACCGGCCAAAUUGGAGCUCUUCCAGGGCAAUGCCGCGAGCUACGGUUAAAUGAAGGAACUCGUUUGCGUGGUCGCCCAAUAGUACUUUUGCAGGCGAAAUUAGUUGAGGUCGGGCGUACAUGGAGUCGAGGCAUAGCCAACAGCAUUGCUUCCGCUUGCAGGUGAUCUUCCUGUAGUAAUAUCAUGUGCUAGUCUUGCCCUAGCAGAUGCAGGGAUAAUGAUGUAUGACCUUGUCGCCUCAGUCUCUGUGGUAUUCAUCUAGCCCAAUCUUUUUUACUUUCUCUUGACAUUAAGCAGAGAACAAAGAUUUGGCUUGUUAUUUAGUUUGCAAACAUGAAGUUUGUUCUUGCAUAACAAGUGAAGAUAGUUAUUGCUACUAUGGCUCUUCAUAACUACAUAAGAAGAUAUGCUCAACGAGAUCUUGAUUUUGAUGAAAGUGGAAAUUACUCAAGUGAAGAGACUACUGAAGAGAUGGAGGACAAUGAACAUGAAGGAGAUGGUCCGGGAAGACAAGAAAUGAAGGUGUUAAGAAAUACAAUUGCACAAAGUCUAAUGAAUGCAUAUACUUAGCAUUUAGUUGCAAAAUUCAAGUAACUUUAA
This is a long non-coding RNA of Rosa rugosa (rugosa rose), 1153 nucleotides long. RefSeq lists it as uncharacterized. NCBI's taxonomy places the organism in Eukaryota, Viridiplantae, Streptophyta, Magnoliopsida, Rosales, Rosaceae. The record is from RefSeq and is a predicted model, not a curated record. The transcript is spliced from 5 exons.